This 465-nucleotide ribosomal RNA is filed under the name uncultured bacterium. Its description in RNAcentral is "partial 16S ribosomal RNA". It matches the Rfam family "Bacterial small subunit ribosomal RNA", at positions 28 to 507 of the family's 1533-position model. The record is from RNAcentral.
GAUGAACGCUGGCGGCGUGCUUAACACAUGCAAGUCGAACGGAGAGGCCCAAGCUUCCUUGGGGACUCGAGUGGCGCAGGGGUGUGAAACACGAGUGUGAUCUGCCCAGCACUUCGGGAUAAGCCUGAGAAACUGGGUCUAAUAGCGGAUAGGACCACAUUUUGGGUUGUGUGUUGGAAAGUUUUUCGGUGUUGGAUUGGCUCGCGGCCUAUCAGCUUGUUGGGGGGGUAAUGGGCUACCAAGGCGUCGACGGGUAGCCGGCCUGAGAGGGUGAACGGCCACACUGGGACUGAGACACGGCCCAGACUCCUACGGGAGGCAGCAGUGGGGAAUAUUGCACAAUGGGCGCAAGCCUGAUGCAGCGACGCCGCGUGGGGGAUGACGGCCUUCGGGUUGUAAACUCCUUUCGCUAGGGACGAAGCGCAAGUGACGGUACCUGCAGAAGAAGCACCGGCUAACUACGUG